RNAcentral lists this ribosomal RNA (253 nucleotides) under uncultured bacterium. RNAcentral describes it as "partial 16S ribosomal RNA". It matches the Rfam family "Bacterial small subunit ribosomal RNA", at positions 524 to 776 of the family's 1533-position model. The record is from RNAcentral.
UACGGGGGGGGCAAGCGUUGUUCGGAAUUACUGGGCGUAAAGGGCUUGUAGGCGGCCAACUAAGUCCGACUUGAAAUCCCCAGGCUUAACCUGGGAACUGCGUCGGAUACUGGAUGGCUUGAAUUCGGGAGAGGGAUGCAGAAUUCCAGGUGUAGCGGUGAAAUGCGUAGAUAUCUGGAGGAAUACCGGUGGCGAAGGCGGCAUCCUGGACCGACAUUGACGCUGAGGAGCGAAAGCUAGGGGAGCAAACGGG